Molecule: ribosomal RNA, 324 nt
Filed under: uncultured eukaryote
Lineage: Eukaryota
Description: partial 18S ribosomal RNA
Rfam family: Eukaryotic small subunit ribosomal RNA
Source: RNAcentral
CCCUUAGAUGUUCUGAACCGCACGCGUGUUACACUGAUGCAUUCAACGAGCUUUACCUUGGCCGAGAGGCCUGGGAAAUCUUUUUAGCAUGCAUCGUGAUAGGGAUUGAUUAUUGCAAUUAUUAAUCAUGAACGAGGAAUUCCUAGUAAACGCAUUUCAUCAAAAUGCAUUGAUUACGUCCCUGCCCUUUGUACACACCGCCCGUCGCACCUACCGAUUGAGUGGUCCGGUGAAUAAUUCGGACUGCAGCACUGCUUGGUCUCCAGGCUUUGCAGCGGAAAGUUUAGUGAACCUUAUCACUUAGAGGAAGGAGAAGUCGUANCA